GAAUUUCUAUAUUAGUUCGGAUUCAAUGUGAACCCUGGUCCAGUCUCCUUGGGUUGCAAAGGAGUUCUCUUUAGUAAAUGCAUUUCUUCGAGUAAAAUAGAAUUGACGUGAUAGCUUAGUUCAUAUAACACUCGUCUCUUUUGAUACAAUGCCUCACCAGUGUUAUAUUCUCCUCUUUCUCUGAUUUGUUACACAACAGGCCUCAGAUAACUAUAAUGUUUGUUUGCAGUAGAAUAAAGAGAGGAUUUUUUGUUCGAUCAAAUUAUGUGUCUAAGGUUGAUACUGAGUAGAAAUACUUUGGUGAAGUCUGUUUGCUGAUGAGACUUGACAACCCAAGAUAUUUGAUCCUUGGAAAGAGAUUGAUUCUUUCAAAGAAUAAGAUUGCUUGUCGUUGCUCUUCCUUGAUGGGAGGAAAUUAACAGCUUUCCUUCUUUUCGAAUUUAUCACCUUCUUUAAGCAUCCAAAUUUGCUGACUGAUUCGUAAUCUUUUCUGAUUGAUUCCCUCCCUUAAGCAUCUAGAUUGACUCGUGCAUUCUUGUUCUUUCUUAAGUAGCUCCUUGAUUCCUUAUUCUUCUGUAAUUGAUUUCCUGCACAUAUAUAUUAUUUGUAUCAUUAAAAUUAUAUCUAACAAUCUCCCCCUUUUUGAUGAUGACAAAAUAAUAUAUAUGUCUAAAACACCCGUUGACUUCCCUGUGUUUUACUCCCCCUCAAUGUAUGCAAUUUGAUAGGUUCAUGGUACACCCUCGCUGUUCAUGCAGUUGACUAUUCCUUGGUUAGAGUCGACUCUUGCCAUAGAGGAUGCCAUUGUUGCCACACAGUCGACUAUACCUGUACAGAUACAACAUGACUAUACCUGGACACCUAUACAGAUACAACAUACACGACUAUACCAAUACGCCUAUACAGAUACAACAUAUACUCUUCUAUACAACAUAUACUUGUCUCCCCCUUUUUGGCAUCAGUAAAGAGGAAACAAACCAAAAACUAAACAGAAUACACCGCAAUUAUACAGUAGGGUUAUAAUCCAAAAAAAAACAAAAAUUAUAGAGUGGCUGAGAUAACAUCCCAAAAAUAGCACAACAGAAAAAAUUGUCUUAAGCAACCACAUUAAUGACACAAAAAAUAAGUAAGAGUGUUGCAGAUGGCCUCCUUCAAUUGUUCAAAUAUAGCAUUGGCUAAGAUGCUCACUCCAUCCAAACUGUCAUGAAUCUUCCUGAAAGCUUUGACAGCAUUCUCCCUAACUCUAAGAACAACAACUCUAAUCUUUGACACAUCAGACCCUGUUUCCUUGAAGAUAGCAUGAAUGUCACCAAUAGUAGACUGAGUGGUUGUGAGGAUAUUUUUGAUUUCAGAGAGUUGAGUGCCAAUAGCACGAAGCUUCUCACCAAGGCCAGAAUCUCCAGGGCUGAGAUGAGAGACAGUUGGUUUAGGUUUGGGCUCUAUAGGCUCAUUCUUUGCUUCGACUUCGUGCUUCUUUACCCAGGAGCCCUUCACACUCACAUAUCCUAUGUUUGCAAAGGAUCUAGAGUUAUAAGACUUGGAAAUAGUGAUGAAGGGAUAAUUGGAUAUGGAAAUUUGAUGAGCUUCCAGAAUAUCAGUGAUGGCCAUGCCAUAGGGUAGCCCGGUGGGAUCUUCAGCACUCUUAAUCAUGAAAUUAAUGACCCAGGAGGAUAACUUGAUUUUGAGUUUGGUCACAAGGCAGUAUACUAAGAAAGUGUCUCUUUGAGAGAAGGUGGAAAAGGAACCAGUCAGAGAAGCAGAAUAGUUGUUACAAUGUGGCCCAGAACUCGAGUUUCAAAGCUAAAAUCACUGGGAACUAACUAGUUGGGAAGGGAAUCAGAGAGACGCUUAACAAUAUACUGUUUGGCUUGGUCAAAAGAAAUUUCAAAUCAUCGAGCCAUGUGUUUUUAAAAAGCAUAGGAAAAUCAAAACAUUGACACUGAAAGAGCGAAUCAAACAGGGCACAAUCAAGAACAAUGCGCUUACCUAACACUAAGGAUUACAACUUGUCAGGUUUACUAAAACAAAGAUUGGCAUAAAAUAUCUUUACCAGGGUCUCAUAUACUUUAGGCAGAGGAAUAGGGAGGAACUUAGCCCACCCUUGAUGAACAAAAAGGUUUUUGACCUUACAAUUUAGGGCUUCCAUGUUGUCAAGGUUGAUUACCCUCCCAUGAGAAAUAGGCUUGUCAUUCAGAGCAACGAAGAAAUCCCUAUUUGGAGACUCCCAAAAAUUUAGGUCGGAUUAUAGAGACACAGAAAAAUAAAUCUUCUAUUUCUUUGGGGUAGAGGAAACCGAGAGGGGGAGGGGGGGGGGNNNNNNNNNNNNNNNNNNNNNNNNNNNNNNNNNNNNNNNNNNNNNNNNNNNNNNNNNNNNNNNNNNNNNNNNNNNNNNNNNNNNNNNNNNNNNNNNNNNNNNNNNNNNNNNNNNNNNNNNNNNNNNNNNNNNNNNNNNNNNNNNNNNNNNNNNNNNNNNNNNNNNNNNNNNNNNNNNNNNNNNNNNNNNNNNNNNNNNNNNNNNNNNNNNGGGAGGGGGGGGGGUUCUUCCAUAGGUCGUCUUCCUAGAGCUUUGUCUCCUAAGUUUUGAGAGUUAUCAGAGAAAUCUCCCUGUGAAGUGGCGAAACCCUCAAAGUGGUUGGACCUUAGGUCUACUUGUUCUGGGAAAAUGGGAGGGGAUUUUUCUUUGGAGCGAGUUCUUUUUCUGGUGGAAGUAGAGGGAUUUCUGAGUUGUCAGUCCACUGAAGUAAAGUGGUUUGAUUAGAGCUUUGGAGAAUGAUUUUCUAAAGGAAAGAGAUGAAAGUUACUGAAAAGGGUUCUUCAACUUAAGAGAGAGCCUUCUGAUAGUUGCGUACCGAAAAGGAAAUGGGGUCAGUUGAAGGGACAUAAUGAUUGUCUUUCCAACAUUAAACGAAUAACUGAUGUAAAAGAAGAUAAAAAGAGAGGGCAAAAACUGAGGCGUGAUUAAUGCAUGAGUAAAGGACAAUCAUUACAUCUGUAGUACACAGUAAUUUUCUUAAAACACAAAAUUGUCCUCUAAUAAUGGCUUAGUAAAAAUAUCUACUAAAUGAUCAGUAGUUCGAACAAAAGAUAUUUCAAUGUCUUCCUUAAGAACAUGAUCUCUAAUAAAGUGAUGCUUGAUAUCUAUAUGUUUGCUUUAGUAUGAUGCACAUAAUUCUGAAAGACAAAUAGCACUUGAAUUAUCACAAAAAUUUAUAUAGGUUUAAAAGAGAAUUCGAGUUACCCAGUUAUCAUACCUCCGUUUUGCCACACCGCCGCGAAGGGUAGUGUAUGAGGGAGUUUUUUCAACUUAACUGACAUUAUUCACAAUGUGAUUAUUUUUUUCAAGUCGCCACUUGGGAUAGGUUUGUUCUCUGGUGUCCCAAUCACCGGUUUAUUUUAAAUCCCAAACUGAGGAAAAUUCAACUUUCCUUGUGAAGUCUGCGAACCAGAAAUUCUGAAUAAGGAAUUUUGUUAACCCGAGGGAAGGUGUUAGGCACCCCCAGGUUCUGUGGUUCUAGCACGGUCGCUUAAACAAUCAUAAUUGACUUGUUAUCUUAUUUUAAUACAUGUUUUAGCCUAUGGUAUAAUUUUAAAUUAUUAACCGCUUUUAAUUAGUUUAAGGAAGGUUUCAACAUUAUCUAAAAUGCGUCUUUGGAUCACGUCACAUGAAAUGCACCCGUAGUUCGAGACACAUUUUAUUUAACGUUGUGAGAUUUGGAUUUGGGUCACAUGAAAUGUGCAUCCGAAUUUAGGAAGGUAAAUUAUUAAAGUAACGCGCCUAAAGUAACUACACAUUGUUAACUUUGCGAGGGCCAUGGAAAAAUUUACUAAAUGGCAUGCCUCGAUUUCUAAGGAUACACAAGAUUAAUUAAAUGAGGGCCAUGCAAUUUAAGAUUUUAUUUGGCAUGGCGCACCUCAAAUUAUUCUAACCAAAGGGUUGCUAUAUUAUAAAGUGAAGGCCAUACUUUAUGCAAUUGGUUAUUAUGGCACACCUCCAAGCUAAGGAAACGCUGAAAUAAUUAAUUGACUACUAAAAUGGUAAUUACCCUAAUAUUAAAGUCCAACCUAAUUAAGCACAAAUGCACAAUCCACUUCAGAACUUCGGCCUGAAAAUGAUACCCAAUGCCAAGAUUGCAAAGCUAACCAAUUGCUAACUGCACAAAUACGUGAAUUGGGCCAGAGAAAUCUGGCCUGAGGCCUACCCAUUGAAACGAGGUUGAGACCCAUGAUCGAACCCCUUUGACGGCAUAACACAUGCAUCGAAUUGGGAAUUAAAACUGAUUCAAAAUGUUUUUGUUUUUUUUUUCAAACCAGAUAGAUGAGAGGUAAGCAACCCCACUUCCAACCGAGAGGUUGUGAGUUCGAGUCUCCCCAAGAGCAAGGUGGGAAGUUCUGGGAGAGAAGGAUGCCGGGGGUCUAUUUGGAAACAGCCUCUCUACCCCAGGGUAAGGGUAAGGUCUGCGUAUACACUACCCUCCUCAGACCCCACUAAGUGGAAUUGUACUGAUUGUUGUUGUUGUUGUUGUUUAGAUAGAUGAGAGGUACAUCUAUUGAUUGUUCUGAUUAUACCAACUACAGGCUACACCAUUUUUAUCUAAAAGUCCAAACUAGCUUAAACACCAUGACAAGUAAAUAUGAAGUGUAUUCAAGACUCAUAGACCCUAUAUGAUUUGACAAUGUACCACCAUAGCCACAAAUACCAAUUUUUAUGACUGAAACUUUCAAACACAACUUGUAAGAUAAUGGACUCAAGAAAGAGUAUUGCCAAAAUUCGAUUGAUUUUAAGAUCCUUAAAUAAUCAGUUGCCCCUUGCACACAUGCCAGUAAUAAAUUGCCUAAAACUCAAAGGUAAGGAGAAGAAUCUAAAGGCUGACUAAACAGAUUAAGACUCAAAUAUUCACAAAAGUUCCAGACCAAAUACACUGACAAGAAUGUUCAAUUAUACAACACCAAAGUCUAUUACUCAUUCAAUUAGACAAGGUGUUAUCCAAGUUUUCAUGAUUGUCUAACUUAUCUAAACCAAACGAGCCAAUUCUUAAUUCAUCCAUUAACACAAAACAAACUCAAAAACAAAAAUAAAGACGAGCACACAAAGCAAAAUUUAACGCUGAUUACAGAAUCUGAUAGCAAAACCAUAAGUAAACAACAUGUACUAAGCUAAUAUGAUCCAGAUUUCAACUACAACGCACAUGAUGAUAAAUACAUCAAUAAAAAUCCAGAUAUUGUAUGCUAAUCAUAAAAUUGAAAGGAGAAAAGACGAAGUUCAAUAAAAAACAGAACCAUAUUUCAUCUUAUUUUCAAAUCCAUGCUUUGGAUUACACAUUAAAUGACAUCCAUAGGGCUGAAGAAUACCUGAAAAUGAAAAAGGGAAAUAAAAGAAGUGAAGGAUUAACAAUCUAUAGUAUCAAAACUCAGCUUUGAUCUCAACAACCAAGCUUCCACAAACCCAAAACUCAAACCAUUUUCGCCCAAAUUUAACCAGAAAUUGUUUCAGAAUUGGAGAACUUCUGAAAUCACAAAAAGAAAUCAAGGGAACAGUGUUUUACUAAAAUUUUUAGUCGUUUUGCAGUUUUUCUGAUGUUUCUUCUCAAUGUCUGAUUCUAGCUUCCCUUAGCAAUGCCUUUAUAAGCAAGCUAUUAGGGCAACC
Molecule: long non-coding RNA, 5644 nt
Filed under: Nicotiana benthamiana
Lineage: Eukaryota; Viridiplantae; Streptophyta; Magnoliopsida; Solanales; Solanaceae
Description: long non-coding RNA (NBEN_LNC016351)
Source: RNAcentral